RNAcentral lists this ribosomal RNA (159 nucleotides) under Helicobacter pylori. RNAcentral's name for it is "partial 16S ribosomal RNA". It matches the Rfam family "Bacterial small subunit ribosomal RNA", at positions 1374 to 1533 of the family's 1533-position model. Lineage: Bacteria; Pseudomonadati; Campylobacterota; Epsilonproteobacteria; Campylobacterales; Helicobacteraceae. The record is from RNAcentral.
CCGGGUCUUGUACUCACCGCCCGUCACACCAUGGGAGUUGUGUUUGCCUUAAGUCAGGAUGCUAAAUUGGCUACUGCCCACGGCACACACAGCGACUGGGGUGAAGUCGUAACAAGGUAACCGUAGGUGAACCUGCGGUUGGAUCACCUCCUUUCUAGA